GAAGCUCUUUGUUUGCUUUUCCUUGCAGUAGUGACUGGGUUACUUAAGCCUAAUAGAAGACUCUUUCUUUUAUGCUCUGUGAGCCUGAGCCAUCACAAAUCAAUUACAGAAAGCCUAUAGGAGUUGUCCUCUCUAGCUCCUCCCAGGAAGGGCAGCUGAGAAUGAUUCCUGAUGAAUAAACUCCAUAGUUCCCAAAGAGGGUUGUGUUCCAUGAGCUCUAAGUGUUUCCUUCUGUUUCAAACUCACUCAGAAGGAGAGAUGAGUUUCAGGUGAGGUAGUGGUGGUAGAAGAACAGACAUUUUACACAUCUUCAUCAGUGGGAAGUUCCUGCCUGCCCUUCUCUUAUUGUAGCCUUAGGAAAUGUUCACACAGGGUCCUCCCUGAGGGUGAAGUCAGCUGCAGAGCAGCAGGGCUCUGGACUCUUGUUUGAUACAGAGAUGGAGUUUUACUUCAGAGUUCUCCUUGGAGGCUGAAUGCAAUAAUUCCUGGGAAGUUUAGGGUUAAAGAAGAAAGCACUUUGACAAGCAAUAUGUUGUGUGCUGCAGUGCUUGGUUUUAGUCCAAAGAGAGAAGAGCAGCAGAAAGGAGGUCCAACACAUGUAGUGUCCUGAGAACUGAGAGAGAAGGAACAGUAACGUUCAGACUGAAUAAUCCAGAUUCAAGAGAUGCUUCCAGUUAUAAAGGGUGGAGAAGUCCUGACACCUUCACCUCUUUGGAUAUUUGCAAUUGCAGUGAGUGGAUUAGUUCACAAGGGAUAGGAAAGGAUGCUUAGUUCUUUGUACUGUAUGAUGGAGGAGAUAUGAAAGUUUGUGCAAGGGGAGUACUGUCCACAGCAAACAACCUCUGACUCUUUAUGUAGUUAUUAGCUAACUUCUUUAACUUAAAAUUUUAUCUUAGUUAAAGGGGAACCUUGGAAGUUUGGAGUUUGUACAUUCUUGCAUCAUCUUAAUGGGCUUAGGAGGAGAUGUGUUUAAACUGUCUAUGGAGCUCAGAGAUCCAAGGACUGGCUGUUUCUUUUUUAUUAUUAUUAUUAUUUAUAUAUUUUUUUAAUGGUAAUUCAAACACUUGGUUCUUCUUUGGUUUUGUGCUUAACCACUCCCAACUAUUACGUGCACAGAGAUUGCUGCUGCCAGUAGUUGAAUCUUCUGCUUAUUUGCUAUAUGACAGAAUGAAGGAGGACAAGGGCAAGAGAAGGAAGCCUGAUUUAUUGCCUUUCUUCUCAGCUUUGAAGAGCUCAGAUGAUUUGUAGCACAAAUAAAGAGAAAACUGCUUUGGGAGAAUGAUCAGAGGGGAAUGAGCUUGUACCUGGGGGCAUACAGACAUGCAUGUUAGAUUGGAACUUUAUUACAUUUUAUAUGUGUGCAUAUAUAUGUAUAUAAAUACAUGUGCACACACAUAAAAGUAACAGUGUGACUGAUAA
Molecule: long non-coding RNA, 1419 nt
Organism: Anas platyrhynchos (mallard)
Lineage: Eukaryota; Metazoa; Chordata; Aves; Anseriformes; Anatidae
Source: RefSeq, a predicted model, not a curated record